Varroa destructor (honeybee mite) is the source of this 7713-nucleotide long non-coding RNA. NCBI's taxonomy places the organism in Eukaryota, Metazoa, Arthropoda, Arachnida, Mesostigmata, Varroidae. The record is from RefSeq and is a predicted model, not a curated record.
GGCGGCGGUAAACUUUCCCCCAGUGGAGCACAAUAAUUUCGUGGCGAGUGGAGAAGGCGAUAUCGAAAAAGAUCAGGACGGCUGCCAGAUCCAGUGAGUGAAAGUUAACGUAGCAAAUCGGCUGCGAAGAACAAAAGACAUCGAAUCUUCAUCUGAUUGGGAUUAAUUGCAAUUAGCUACCUUAUUUGUCAUUGUUACUCAUCUGUAAGUUCACAAAAGGUUAACAAAUCACAGCAGUCUACUGUUGCUGGCUGGCACAAGCUGACUUCCAAUGUAUAUAUACAUAUAUAUAUAUAUAUAUCUAAAAUUUUCGACAGAAGGACCGCGUUCGACUAGAGAUUCUGCAGCAUGACAACCAACGUGUUUAUCCAUCAGAUACAAAGAUCUGCAUUUUCACUUUUCAAAUAGAUAUUAUAAUAAUCUGCAGCAGUUAUAGGUGAUAUUGAUCUAUAAUCAAUACAGCGGAAACAAAUAGCGCCAAUACUACAGGUUGUAUCUUUGGUGGCCAUGCGUCCUACCGCACUAAAACCCUAUGCAUAAGGUAAAAAAUCAUAUGCGUUCAUUUAACUACGAUGUCAACAAUCGCUAUUAAAUUUAAUUAUUCAACCAGUGGAUUUAUUGCGUAGCAGCUAGACAAUCAAUCAGGCUCUAGAGCGUCCACCAACAGCUCAAGCAUCUUCAUAAUCUAAAGCGCGAAACUUUUGAAUCUCCUUUAACGGCCAACUCACCUGUCUUCGUACGGCCAUUAGUACUAUCUGGUUACUUUAACAUACGGUUUGUUUGUCCUUUGCAGCAUAGAACAUGUCCGUGCAUCUUGCUAGUAUUACGCUAAAGAUGUCACUCCUUCGACAAUACGAAGCCAAACAAGUUUUUUUGGACUCCGCACCAAAUUGAGUAGGUUAGGUCAGGUAGCUUGCUUUAUUACUUAAAUAUCAUGAUAAAAUUUGCGGCUGCUGCAGACGGCCACUUUCGCCAACGAGCAGAAGUAUCAUACAAUGGUUGAUCUGUUCUCUCGUAGCCAUUGACUCGACAGAAAGUACUGAGCUCACGUAAAUCCUAACGGAACAUCUGCGAACUGCAGCGUACUUGGAGACGACACGAAAAUUGACCUUUUUAUACCUGCGCAGUGAAAGGGAUAUUCUUCGAAUUUCUAUUGAUUUCCUCAGUUCGUGGAACUUGAGUACUCUGCAUAUCAGCCCAACUUGUUGGAGUCAAUCUGUAGAAUAUACUGUUCCCAGUAGAAGCGCCACACAGGAAUUAAGGUCGAAUUUGUAUAUUUACCGCUGCCGUUUACCUUUGGUACCACCAGCGCUACAAAUAUAUGAGGAGAACUUGACAUACAUCUAUGAAGGCCAGCUGCGUUGCCAAAUUCAUUUGUGUCCGUCACAAAUAUUGCGGGAAGUUGAAAAGCUCUCAUGUCACGUACACUUCAUACAGGUAUGAAUUAACCUACAUAUCCGGUUGUCAACUUACUUUCUACAUGUUGUAUGUACAUCGUGUAUAUUUUUCAUGACUAGAACCGGGUUCAUUCUUAAAGAUUAAAUGGAAGAAGCUACCAUGAUCAUUAUAUCUGAUUGAUUGUCGGUAGCCGGCUGUAGUAAUAAUGUGUUAAGGAUCCACACCGUAGAAUUUAGAGUAACUGAUUACAGGCUUUCUACCCGUACAUAUAUGAACUUGGCUUAAACUAGCAGGUAAAUAAAUAUUCGAAAAUUACUAGAUGCUUGAUUUUCAUAUAAUUAUUCCAUGUCUGACUAAACCGUUGACAUUCGCCCUUGUUAUUAGCGUGAUUACGAUAGGCAAAGGGCCUCCUCGAUCUGGGGCAUUUAGAAAUGUCAACGAUCGUCGUACUCUGGCCACAGCGGAGUUUUCCAUGUCGGUUGCGUUAUUAGACACAGAUGUUUAUGGGGUAACACGAUAAUUGUACAUGACCAGCGAGUAUAUGUAUGGAUAAGUACACUCUGAUUUGCUUUGACUGCCGGUUAUACUAGCAGCUGUAGUCACCGAAGGUUGAGUAAACAAGGGAUUGACAACAAAUCGACGUAAACGUUUUACCAAACCGCUUCGCGGUACUAACAAAAAUAUCCACCCAUCAGUUCCGCUUCGUGGAACUCCUAUAAGCACUGUGUGCGAGGAUGUAAACGUAAUAUUCGCGCGCACCUCGGAGGUGUAUAUAGGCACACCUGUAUCCGUCACAAGGACCCAGGUGUAUAUAGGCACACCUGUAUCCGUCACAAGGACCCAAGCCAAAAAAGACUGUAUCUAAAAUAUAUGGUCGUACUCGGUACGUUCAGCCUGAUAUAAUACAUUGUUGUAUACAUUGAAAACACAGGAAGUUCGCGCAACAAGCUACUACUUGUGCGUCGGACCCACUGAACGGUAACUCCUUUUUUCCAAUGAGUCUAUCAUUGCGUACUCAUCAUUAUAAGCUAUGUGUCUGCGCUCGUAAAAGUCAGCCAACUGGAAUCCAGGCCGAAAGAGCCGUGGCUUUUAAAUCGCCUAAGCAAAAACAAGCUAGUUCGAUAAAGCCGUAUUACUAAUAGCUUAUGAAUUCCGUUUUCAUUUAAUUAUCGACCUGGACCUAUAAAAAUCAUCUGGACCGAUAUUAAUGGGCUAUUUUCUUUUAAUAUUUACUUAUUAAUUAAACUGCUAAUUGACGAUCAGUAUUUUAAGGAAUGAUGAAACUGACUGCAUGAUAAUGACGAUGUUGGUCACAUGUCGAUGCACGAUACGGUGCUCUUCAAACGAUGCGUACGUUUGUACGCAUUACGCGUAUUUUUCAUUCACGUUUACCUCUUAAGUCGGUUAAAGACGGCCUGACCGCGUGGUUAAUCUAGAUGAGCGUCUUGUCAGCGGUAAUCAUGCGCAAAUAAACAUACAGGAAUCCCUGGUCCAAAUCUCAGCGCUCGUAAACAUUGUGACUACAGAGAAUAGUGUUACUACGCCGUUUUAUAGGUUUUUUUGGAGAGUCCGGCAAAACCCAUACCGCUCAAAUCUCUAGUCGGGCAAGCCGUUGAUGCCACCGCCUAGAAAAUAAUUUUGAAAACUCAUUCAUACUGCUGAAAUAUUUCGGAGCGUUAAAAAAAUUAAGAGUAAGUUUAUUGUUCUAAACGUCGCAGAGCAGACGAUCCUGAUAUAUGCUAUAGCUUCAGACGAUACCUGAGAUACGUUGUACAAUAUGGAAACUGAAUAUAGACUAGGCGGGACUACACAGUGUAAGCACUUAUUCUCAGGUAUUACUACGCAGCUGUCGUCUGUUAUAUACGGCUACUUAAAUUUAUGACCAGUGCGUUGUUGGUCGUUAAAAGGGCCAGUUUGGGGUGCGUCAGGCCGGCGUUUCUGUGUUGCCCACAAUUUUUCAGCUCGACAGAUGCAUAUGUCCUUCGGAUAUUUCGCCCAACUAAUGGCUAGUGGUAGUGGUAGUAUUAGCGUAUCCCAUAAUACCAUCGAUAAAGAUACCUGUGAAUUUGAAACUAUGGAAAAUUAAAUCUCUAGACGUCCCUUGCGCUUUAUCUCUUUGAGGAUCCAAUGACCAAUUCUUUGUCGAGCCAAACGUCUGGUUCUGUCUUUACAUGCUGUAACACUUAUAUUACGACGUACAGGACCAAAGGACGUUUGAUUCGUGAUCGGAGAAAGUCCUGCGGAGAUUCCACCACCUAAAGACGAUCCAGUAGUCAGAGAUACCUCUCGUUGUUUCUUGAAGAUAUACCUACCUUCGGAAGAUAGAAAACGGAAAUCCUAUACGAAGGCGGUGUCCAUUGAGAGCAGUCGCAUAUAAAAAAAAGAAAAGCCAGAGAAUGCUCCACCAAGUCAAUUUGCUAUACAUGACUGCUAAGGUAGUACUAAUCUUUAUAAUAUUGCUAUUGCACGUUACUUAUACAUCGCAUUAUAUAACCCGUGAUAUCUGCUCGCUUGGCCAGCGCUCCUGUCAGGUCCGAUCCGGUUAACCUUUUCAAAACCCGUACUAGGUAUUACAUAUACAAAACGAAGAUGAUCGGUGGAAACCUUUCUGAUAGGUUAACGCCUGUCUGCCGAGUUUGUUUCCGACACCCCGUAGUAAUAACGACCUACGCCGGUGGACGCGGCUGUUGGCGAUAAUCGUGACCAGGUCGGAACGCAAGUAACACCAGCUAUCACAGAAAUACUUUCAAAUUGACGCUGAUUGAUAUAGCUACUGUAUUGCGUAGUAUUCAAAGCGGUCGACCUUUUGUUGAUGCGGAAAACGUUGAAAUUAGUUGAGAACGAUAUAUAAGAAAGAAGAGCACCUUAUUGGAACCGAGGUUGCUGUAUAUAUAUAUAUAUAUAUUGUUGUUCCAAAUUUGUUUCUUCAAAAGCAGGAACAUACUUGUGGGAUAGGAUCGCGAGAUUGGAAUUAGUGAUUUCUGUUUUCAAAACCAUGAUACGCCGGUUUGUCCGCACAGUCAUAACUGGAAUCAAUUAAUUUGUUCAGGGAAAACUUUUUCGUCUGCUAAAAAGUCGUGAUCCGAAAUUAGUUGUCAGUUUAUAAACUAAAACUAUGUCCUUUCGAGAAUCACGAUCGAGGCCAGUUUUACCUCGAAAGAAUAGCUCGUGUUGCUCAUCUAAUGACUCUCGUUACUAGCGAAUGAUUCGUAGAUUCUUUCUUGUAGAUUUGGCAAUGGCGUUAAAAUAUCGUCAAAAGAGUUGAAAUAGACAUAGUUUCAAGGGACUUCCUGCGCUGACUUCGGUCAGUUGGGUCUCAUUCGGACACGACAGGUUUUAAUUAUCAUCUAGUAGAAUGGAAAAGAUGCCCUAGACCACGGAGUUGAACCAGGCAUUGUGAAAGAUUUUAUUAAGGUUGCGAGGGCUACCAGUGUUAGGCUGUGUUAUUGCCGCAGUGUUCGGGCAGAGUCGAAAACGAGGUCAGCCUUCGAAGGACAACGGCCUUGCGAAAGAACAGCCAAUGCGAUCGUAAGGUAAUUAGUAACCGAAAAACAAAGGCACACUAGACCAUCGAAAGCGAACAGAACGACCAUCAACAGCCUGUGUUACGCGCCUUAGGCAAUUAAAAGUGCGAACGGGGGCCAGGCUGCCUAUUAGAACAAUGCUUUUACGUCAGAGCUGUGACCCUGGAUUUCCCCGACCGCUACAAGAAGACUUGCCGCCUAUUGCUGUUAUAUGUAUGUGUGUCACUAGCAUCUUUAGAGGUACUAUUCUUCUAUGGCGAAGCGAACUGUUGCCGUCUACGCGAGUACUUAUUGACACAUCCAGUCCUUUAGAGCGGGAUGCUGUUAAAAUAGACAAAACGAAUUAGAAUUUCAACCUAUAGGCUGAUAUAGUAAUCGUCUAAAGGGAAAGAUCUAUUAUAGAUCAAGGUUACCGUACAUAGGCCGUUUGCGGAAAACUUUGAUGUUAUCUUGUAACUCAAUUGAAAAAAAUUGCCUUUGGGCAUAUUCAUUAACAAAAGGCGACUAAUACUAAUAUGUUAAAAUAAAGCACUAUUGUUAUAAGCUUAUUUAAUCACGCAUACUUACACCUCUCAACAAAACUGUGCACCAAUCGUUCAUGCUCUAACUUAGCAAAUUAUAUUUCGAAACGAAAACAGGUCCUAUGGACAAUUUCAUCCUGAUACAGCAGAUGAAUUUUAGUGUCAACUGGACGCCGUCGAUCAGGUGAAUCUGGGCUUUUCCUUCUUGCACGUACUUCAGCCCACAGUUGCCAAAUAGGAGUACACUCUUUUGAUGUUAAAAUAUAUUGAAAAAAUCUCUACUUUUAUCAUUCCCCUUUCAACGUAUCAUAACUCUCAGCUGCUCAGUAUAGACUGGGUGGCACAUUGCAGCCUAUCGGCGAUGAGGCGCCCCAGCAGGCUCUCGGCUGUUGAGGGCGAUCUUCAAUAAAUGAGCCACGAAUAUUCCUCUGUAGACUUGCGUAGGUUUUAUGAAGCGCGCAUUUUUCAAAUCCGUUUAGUCAUUUGUUUAAACAAGGCCCUCUCAAUUCUAUAUCCUAAUAUAGUUUUAGAAGGCCUACAAUUGCAAACACUGUCAUCGAUAGGGUUUAAAUCAAGGCAGUAGCCGUAUUUUGCUUAAGUCUGUGGAACGAUGAUACCAUCGCUUAUUUUCGCCAACUAUAUAACAACUGAAGUUUAUAAUGACUAAGGUGACGUACGGUUAUAAACCCUUGAUAAUGUUUGAAGCUAGAAACAGAUUCGUAUAGUUAUCAUUGUGGUGUCUUUCUGGCGAAGUGUUCCACAUCCAAUCAGCACUCAUCAUACACGUACGCUGUUCUAGAAAAGUUCCGUAAGUUAUUUGAUGCGCAAUUCGAUUGGGCGGAACUGAACUUGAGUGUCUGCCGCAACUUUGAAUGCUGAGGUUAUCAGUAUAGAUUUCACGUUGGCUAUCACACGUAAUAUUCGAUCAAACCCUAUUAGGGCUUCUUAUAGAUGACUUUUAAUAAUUUUAAACACAGCUCAUUGCGUAACUGAUUCAGCGCACUCAAAAUACAACUUGGAGCGCUUUAUAACUUCCAGCGUAUCCAGAAGUAUCUAUAACGCUAGGAAAACAUGAACAAUAACUUUGUUUCAUACUAAACCUCAAUAUGUACGUGUUGCCAAAAAUGUUUAAUAUUUUAAAAAAAUAUUAGUGAAUAUUUUUUUAAAUUUAGUACUGGCUAAGCAUUCUAUCCUAUACAUGCUCAGUAUGUAUGUAUGUAUGUAUAGAGGUGGCAAAGUAGAAAAUUGCUAAGAACGACCUUCUUUCUUCUAACUAGGAUUUUUUUGUUAUCCAACAGUUACGUCGGUGCAUUGAUCGAUGGUGCGCGGGCUGAUAUUCGCUCGGUCUCGAGCAAACUAGGUUUUUUUUUUACUUGCCUUACGUUGACACCCAACUGACUUUUACAAUUUUGAGAAUUUUAAUCAAAAUGUCUACCUAUUGGCGUGCUAUUGAUUAUUUGAAUAUUCUUUCGUACAAUAGGAAGACGAUUUUUCGACAUGGAACGACAUUCGGUUUCAACAAGUUAUGCACUAUAAGUUCACUGACCGUUCAGCCCGCUCCAUCUACCAAUUGCAAGUUAGCGUAAUAAAAAGCUGUUUCUAUUCGACCCGGUAAACACCCGGAAAGGUCACCCACUACGAUGUAUGUUGAUAAUUGAUAUUUUAGUAAUUUCAAAAAGUAUAAUGAUAUGAGAUGUUCUCACAAGCAUCGACGCGGUAUUAAAAACGAUGCAGUUACGGUUAAACGCGCAUGUCUGCAAGUUACUAAUUGCCUCUAUAAAAUACGGCCCAGGAACACUAUAACGCUGCCUUUUUAGAUGCUGAGUAUUGAAGUGCCCGUCUUGUAAGUUCAUUCCGGAAGUAUGCAUAUCCUGUUCCACUAGGAAUAGGCGCUUACAUACUGCUAAUUAACUGGAAACUUCAAAGUAAAAGCAAUGAAUCACCAGAGUCCUUGUUUAGCUUAUUUUCCCAGACAAGCGAAUACAUAUUUUCGCGCUAUUUAUGAUGUUUUUCGAUAGAUUUUCUUGUCAUUAUAUAUGUAUAAUUUGAUCAUUAGCGAUUAUUCACGAACACCUUCGUGUAUAGAUCUUGAUUAUACAGUAAGAUCAAGCGUGUACGUUGUUUGUAGCAAAUCCUUAGUAAAGAAUCUUUAGAGACGCGCAAAAGCGGUACGGGUAUGUAUAUAAGCGGAUUUUUCGAUCAUGACGUAAAUAAAAAUGCUCAUUACACGGCUAUUGGAUUCAAGUGGAUCCUAUAGCUUAAACAUUGGA